Passer domesticus (house sparrow) is the source of this 489-nucleotide long non-coding RNA. RefSeq lists it as uncharacterized. Lineage: Eukaryota; Metazoa; Chordata; Aves; Passeriformes; Passeridae. The record is from RefSeq and is a predicted model, not a curated record. The transcript is spliced from 3 exons.
UGUCCCACCUCCAUCACUUUGUAGGAGCAGCUGCACAAACCCUUCGUUGCCAUAGUAAAGACUUUCCCUAUUCUGUGAUUUCAUUCAGACAUACAGCAAAGAUCCAGGAAUGCCAACCGCCUAGAGUUCCUUGGAGAAUCUGGACUUUACACCUCACCUUUACACCUCUUGCUGACUGCAAGGACAACUGAGAAGAUACAAUGGUUUUCUCAUGCCUUUGUAAGCCAAUUCAGCUUGGUAAACCUGAAGAAGCCUGCUCCUUUUAGGUCUUUCUUCCAGUGUUAUAAUCCGAAAGGAAAAUGGGCAGAAGAUGAAAGUAUGCACAUGACUGCCUGCUUAAACUGACUUGGCUUCUCCUGCUAGAGGUGACAAAGAGGCAGAUUUGGUACUGUACAAGCUGCCACAGAACGCCCAUGCACUUUCAAAGGUAAUGGGAAGAAUUACUUUCCUUCUCAUGUCUCUCUCUUAUUAACAGUUUAUUCAGCAUGU